Molecule: long non-coding RNA, 1972 nt
Organism: Nothobranchius furzeri (turquoise killifish)
Lineage: Eukaryota; Metazoa; Chordata; Actinopteri; Cyprinodontiformes; Nothobranchiidae
Source: Ensembl
AUGGGAGCACAUUUGAGACGAAAGCAUGUGGGGGCUGAUGCAGCAGAGGAAGAGCACCGCGGUCAAGUGAGCCGUCAUUUGGAAGAGCCAGCCCGAAAAAAACAAGCAACGAUGGACAACUACAUGGGGAACAAGACACUCACCCCCCAGCAAUUCAUACCACUUACAAACUCUAUUCUAAACAUGCUGGUAAAAGACAUGAGGCCACUAUCCAUGGUGGAAGGAGCAGGCUUCCAGCUAAUGCUAAAAAAUUAUUCUGGACUGAUAUUUUGCACUGUUUAGCUCAUUUUAUACUGCUGACUGUGUUCAUGUGCAAUAAAAUAGAUUGCAGUCAACUGCACAAUUCUCUUAUGUUUUUUUUUUCUUAACUGAAAUGCAUCCAUCACUUGUAUAGGUUAAAUAGCUAAACAAUAACAAACCGAUUAAUCGAUUAAUCGAAAAAAUAAUCAACAGAUUAAUCUAUUAUGAAAAUAAUCGUUAGUUGCAGCCCUAGAUAAGGGCAUAAAUUUGGGCACCACAAAAAACAAAUGGAGCUUCUAACAAGAGUUUGGAGUCUGAUUGAAGGUGUUCUCGACCAUUCUUCUUUACAAAACAUCUCUAGUUCAUUCAGGCCUGAUGCUUCUGGGCAUGGACAGCUCUCUCUAACUCACACCACAGAUUCUCAAUGAUAUUCAGGUGUGGGGACUGAGAUGGCCGUUCCAGAACGUUCUACUUGUUCCUCUGCAUGAAUGCCUCAGUAGAUGCUGAGCAGUUUUUAGGGUCGUUGUCUUGUUGAAAGAUCCAGCCCCGGUGCAGCUUCAGCGUUGUCACUGAUUCCUGGACACUGGUCUCCAUAAUCUGCUGAUACUGAGUGGAAUCCAUGCAUCCCUCAACUUUAACAAGAUUCCCACAGCAUGAUGGAACCUCCACCAUGUUUUACUGCAGGUAGCAGCUGUUUUUCUUGUAAUGCUGUGUUCUUGUUCCUCCAUGCAUAACACCCUUGUUCUGCCCAAAUAACUCAGUUUAGUUUCAUCAGUCCACAGCACCAUAUCAAUGAAGCAGGCUUGUCCAGAUGUGCUUCAGCAGACCUCAAGCAGCUCUGUUGGUGCUGUGGGUGGAGAAAGGGCUUCCUCUACAUCACUCUCACAUGCAGCAUCUCCUUGUGUAAAGUGCACCGAAUAGAUGAACGAUGCACAAUGACUCCAUCCGCAGCAAGAUGAUGUUGUAGGUCUUUGGUGCUGGUCUGUGGUUGACUCUGACUGUUCUCGCCAUUCUUUACUUCUGUUUAUCUGAGAUUUUUCUUGGUCUGCCACUUGGAGCCUGAACUUGAACUGUGCCUGUGCUCUUCCAUUUAAUCAAUAUGCUCCUAAAGUCUGGGGCACACCGGAGACAGAUGUGCCGUGCCGCUGAGCGCUUCUUGGAAAGUCGCGCGACAGUCACAACAUCACACAUAACUUGAGAACGGGAAGCGGGAAGUGACUCUAUUUUUCAUACGUGAUCAGACUUGCUGUUGUGUUUUGUGAGACUCUGAUUCAUUGAAAAUUGGUGAGCACAUUAUUUAUUAGAAUUUUUAAGAUCAAUAGUAUGUUAAAGUAAUCAAAACUGUGGUUGGGUUUGUGCUGGCGGCUGGGUUUGUCAUAAUGUCUGUUGUAAAGUACACGUGAACAGCCACGGCUGGGGGAAAUAACCGCGCGGGCGCAUCUGUCUCCCGUGUGUCCUAGGUUUAAAGCUUGGUUUAUGCUUGACACAUUUACUUUCCGCUUGGUGAUGCGGCUCGCGGCUGGAACGCGCUUCACAACUUGCAGCGUUUAUGGUUCAUGCGGCUUGUCUCUGCGGUGAGCCAAUAUUCUCCCAAACUGUAGGGGGCAGCAUGGAGCUCUACGACAUGCAUCCAACACUACACCAUAGUAGAAGUAGAAAUUACUGUUUACAACAUGGCAUUCCAGCAUUUUUAACAGCGUCCUCGUCUUUUCCGACAGUGCGAGCUAUUUCU